This 835-nucleotide long non-coding RNA is filed under the name Ricinus communis (castor bean). RNAcentral's name for it is "long non-coding RNA (RCOM_LNC001889)". Lineage: Eukaryota; Viridiplantae; Streptophyta; Magnoliopsida; Malpighiales; Euphorbiaceae. The record is from RNAcentral.
CUGGAGCUGAACUCUAACCUCUACUAAAAUUAAACGAAUCAAACCUAAACUUAUUGAUGUUCGACUAGGCUCAUCUCGGUUCAAUUACAGCCAUAUUCCCGGUGCUCCACAACUCUAAACUUCAUGGAGUAACUCGUCCGCUUCUUCAAUUCUAGACGCUGCAUUUUUCCCAACUUCUGUUAUUUCAACGAAUAUAGUCAAUAUGAAGUUAGAAGAAGUGCUAAAAUUGAAAGCUUUACAAUAAUAACAGAAACACUAAAUAAAGUGAGAAGGAAAAGUUGAAAGUUUUAAACUAAAUAGAAUUUUGAUUUUCCAUUUUUUUACAAUUUGAUAAUUCGUAAUUGUAAUAUUUUAAUUAUUAAGUGAAUGAUAUUUAUAGAAAUAUUAAUUUUUUAUUGUUUCCAUCUGUGAAUAGUCUAAAAGACAACCCGUGAAGUUAUGGGGGCAAUUAUGUAUUUCCAAUAUGAGUAAUGACAAUUUUAAGUAGAUUUAAAUAUAUAACGAGUCGUACUGAUAGAUUUCAAUUUUUUGGGAAACAAAGAAAGGGAAGGGAAGAAAGACUAGAAAUAUCUUUCAGUUAAAAAUAAGAGGAGAUCAGGUAAACAAAACAUCUGAUGAGUGAUGUAGUUGAAAAUAUCCAUCAUCUUUCAAUUAUGAAAACAUAUAGACACACGCAUCAACAAGAAUGAAAUGAUAAAGCACUAGGUAGUUGGUGGUGGUGGUGGUGGUGGUGAUGAUAANNNUGCCAGUGACAAAUAUUUGCUUCUAGAAAGAAGAAAAAAGUAUAUAAGAUAUAUAUGCCAACAACCCACCAAAGUCAUGGGAUUCAGAUUCU